Molecule: long non-coding RNA, 218 nt
Filed under: Gossypium barbadense (sea-island cotton)
Lineage: Eukaryota; Viridiplantae; Streptophyta; Magnoliopsida; Malvales; Malvaceae
Description: long non-coding RNA (GBAR_LNC010598)
Source: RNAcentral
CAGUAAGAAAUUAAAAGAUAAGUCCUAAGAAGCCUUGAAAUCUCGAAAGAUCUCACAACUCCCUUCAAACGGCUCUAAUCUCCCCUCCAAAGAAUAUCAAUGGCAAGAAGAAGGUUGAAGAUGGCUCCCACAAUCAAAAAGAUUGUUAAAACAACUUCUAAAGAAAACUCAAGAGAAAAUCCUUGAAGAACUCAAAGAGAAUUUUCACUCAAAUCAAA